This 1013-nucleotide ribosomal RNA is filed under the name Vibrio vulnificus. RNAcentral's name for it is "partial 23S ribosomal RNA". It matches the Rfam family "Bacterial large subunit ribosomal RNA", at positions 1918 to 2925 of the family's 2925-position model. The record is from RNAcentral. Lineage: Bacteria; Pseudomonadati; Pseudomonadota; Gammaproteobacteria; Vibrionales; Vibrionaceae.
CCCCGGUAAACGGCGGCCGUAACUAUAACGGUCCUAAGGUAGCGAAAUUCCUUGUCGGGUAAGUUCCGACCUGCACGAAUGGCGUAAUGAUGGCCACGCUGUCUCCACCCGAGACUCAGUGAAAUUGAAAUCGCUGUGAAGAUGCAGUGUACCCGCGGCUAGACGGAAAGACCCCGUGAACCUUUACUACAGCUUGGCACUGAACAUUGAACCUACAUGUGUAGGAUAGGUGGGAGGCUUUGAAGACGUGACGCCAGUUGCGUUGGAGCCGUCCUUGAAAUACCACCCUUGUAUGUUUGAUGUUCUAACGUUGGCCCCUAAUCGGGGUUGCGGACAGUGCCUGGUGGGUAGUUUGACUGGGGCGGUCUCCUCCCAAAGAGUAACGGAGGAGCACGAAGGUGGGCUAAUCACGGUUGGACAUCGUGAGGUUAGUGCAAUGGCAUAAGCCCGCUUAACUGCGAGAAUGACGGUUCGAGCAGGUGCGAAAGCAGGUCAUAGUGAUCCGGUGGUUCUGAAUGGAAGGGCCAUCGCUCAACGGAUAAAAGGUACUCCGGGGAUAACAGGCUGAUACCGCCCAAGAGUUCAUAUCGACGGCGGUGUUUGGCACCUCGAUGUCGGCUCAUCACAUCCUGGGGCUGAAGUCGGUCCCAAGGGUAUGGCUGUUCGCCAUUUAAAGUGGUACGCGAGCUGGGUUUAGAACGUCGUGAGACAGUUCGGUCCCUAUCUGCCGUGGGCGUUGGAAGAUUGAAGGGGGCUGCUCCUAGUACGAGAGGACCGGAGUGGACGAACCUCUGGUGUUCGGGUUGUGUCGCCAGACGCAUUGCCCGGUAGCUAAGUUCGGAAUCGAUAACCGCUGAAAGCAUCUAAGCGGGAAGCGAGCCCUGAGAUGAGUCUUCCCUGAUACUUUAAGUAUCCUAAAGGGUUGUUCGAGACUAGAACGUUGAUAGGCAGGGUGUGUAAGCGCUGUGAGGCGUUGAGCUAACCUGUACUAAUUGCCCGUGAGGCUUAACCAU